AGAAUCACUAGGCGCCGGCGCCUCCGAGGCAGUGUGUUUCCGCCCAGAGCUGGAGUCUCCCAGCUGCCAGCCGACCCCGAACCCGCACUCCCGCCAACCGCGCUUUUUGUGGGCGGUCGGAAACCACAGCCUCCGUUGGAUAUGUUCGGUGCAUGUUAUAAACAACCACUUAAACCCUCCGGAUCUGAGCCUCCCGCAGAGGAAUGCAGAAUGACGCCACGGCACGCAGGAUGUGAUGUCACCGAGAUGCAGAGGAUACUCAGUCAACCAACAUUUACUGAGCAUCUACUUCGUGCCGUAUGUCUUGUCAACGGAAAGGGGUCCCUAUCCAGACCCCAAGAGAGCAUUCUUGGAUCUCUUGCAAGAAAGAAUUUGAGGCGAAUCCAUAGAGUAAGCUUAGUGAUGUGUGUCAGACCUCUGAGCCCAAGCAAAGCCAUCAUAUCCCCUGUGACCUGCAUGUAUACAUCCAGAUGGCCUGAAGCAAGUGAAGAAUCACAAAAGAAGUGAAAAGGGCCGGUUCCUGCCUUAACUGAUGACAUUCCACCAUUGUGAUUUGUUCCUGCCCCACCUUAACUGAGCGAUUAACCUGUGAACUUCCUUCUCCUGGCUCAGAAGCUUCCCCACUGAGCACCUUGUGACCCCCGCCCCUGCCUGCCAUAGAACAACCCCCUUUGAUUGUAAUUUUCCUUUACCUACCCAAAUCCUAUAAAACGGCCCCACCCCUAUCUCCCUUCGCUGACACUCUCUUUGGACUCAGCCUGCCUGCACCUAGGUGAUUAAAAAGCUUUAUUGCUCACGCAAA
RNAcentral lists this long non-coding RNA (802 nucleotides) under Homo sapiens (human). RNAcentral's name for it is "ANKRD13C divergent transcript, transcript variant 1 (ANKRD13C-DT)". The record is from RNAcentral. Lineage: Eukaryota; Metazoa; Chordata; Mammalia; Primates; Hominidae.